CAUAGGUUAAUGAGGCGAACCGGGGGAACUGAAACAUCUAAGUACCCCGAGGAAAAGAAAUCAACCGAGAUUCCCCCAGUAGCGGCGAGCGAACGGGGAGCAGCCCAGAGCCUGAAUCAGUGUGUGUGUUAGUGGAAGCGUCUGGAAAGGCGCGCGAUACAGGGUGACAGCCCCGUACACAAAAAUGCACAUACUGUGAGCUCGAUGAGUAGGGCGGGACACGUGGUAUCCUGUCUGAAUAUGGGGGGACCAUCCUCCAAGGCUAAAUACUCCUGACUGACCGAUAGUGAACCAGUACCGUGAGGGAAAGGCGAAAAGAACCCCGGCGAGGGGAGUGAAAAAGAACCUGAAACCGUGUACGUACAAGCAGUGGGAGCACGCUUAGGCGUGUGACUGCGUACCUUUUGUAUAAUGGGUCAGCGACUUAUAUUCUGUAGCAAGGUUAACCGAAUAGGGGAGCCGAAGGGAAACCGAGUCUUAACUGGGCGUUAAGUUGCAGGGUAUAGACCCGAAACCCGGUGAUCUAGCCAUGGGCAGGUUGAAGGUUGGGUAACACUAACUGGAGGACCGAACCGACUAAUGUUGAAAAAUUAGCGGAUGACUUGUGGCUGGGGGUGAAAGGCCAAUCAAACCGGGAGAUAGCUGGUUCUCCCCGAAAGCUAUUUAGGUAGCGCCUCGUGAAUUCAUCUCCGGGGGUAGAGCACUGUUUCGGCAAGGGGGUCAUCCCGACUUACCAACCCGAUGCAAACU
This 750-nucleotide ribosomal RNA is filed under the name Escherichia coli. RNAcentral describes it as "partial 23S ribosomal RNA". It matches the Rfam family "Bacterial large subunit ribosomal RNA", at positions 165 to 955 of the family's 2925-position model. Lineage: Bacteria; Pseudomonadati; Pseudomonadota; Gammaproteobacteria; Enterobacterales; Enterobacteriaceae. The record is from RNAcentral.